This 396-nucleotide long non-coding RNA is filed under the name Aedes aegypti (yellow fever mosquito). RNAcentral's name for it is "lncRNA AAEL021186". The record is from RNAcentral. Lineage: Eukaryota; Metazoa; Arthropoda; Insecta; Diptera; Culicidae.
GGUAAAUUCACCCAUAAUAUAAGUAAAGUCGUUUUACCCAAAAAUAAAACAUCAACAAUUAUAGAAGAGUAACAGCAAAAAACAACUAAAAUUGAUAAUAUCAAGCGGUGUUAUUUGAUGAAUCCAACAUUUCACCAGCAAACUUUGGCGUACUUAACUUUUUCGGCAUCGAAAGUCUUCAACCUGAAAAUUCCAAUCUGUGGUUAAAAUUAUGUUCCUGGAUGAAUCAUAAUUAAAGGUAAUAAUAAUUAAAAUCAGUUUUAUGACAACAACGCCAUUAGCGUUCUACUACUAAUAUUUCUAUUGUCACUCUACGGAUACGGUGAGGAUACGUUCCUUGGGGCCCGCUAGAUGGAAUGAGGCGAUAGUUGGAUGUUCCCUGAUUGGGAUAAAACC